CCCUGUAGCGCAAUGGAUAGCGCGUUAGUCUUCUAAUUCAAAGGUCGUGGAUUCAAAUCCCACCAGGAAGG
RNAcentral lists this transfer RNA (71 nucleotides) under Trichonephila clavata. RNAcentral's name for it is "tRNA-Arg". It matches the Rfam family "tRNA". From Rfam's summary of the family: Transfer RNA (tRNA) molecules are approximately 80 nucleotides in length. Their secondary structure includes four short double-helical elements and three loops (D, anti-codon, and T loops). Lineage: Eukaryota; Metazoa; Arthropoda; Arachnida; Araneae; Nephilidae. The record is from RNAcentral.